RNAcentral lists this ribosomal RNA (440 nucleotides) under uncultured bacterium. RNAcentral's name for it is "partial 16S ribosomal RNA". It matches the Rfam family "Bacterial small subunit ribosomal RNA", at positions 338 to 795 of the family's 1533-position model. The record is from RNAcentral.
CCUACGGGAGGCUGCAGUGGGGAAUAUUGCACAAUGGGGGAAACCCUGCUGCAGCAACGCCGCGUGAGUGAAGAAGUAUUUCGGUAUGUAAAGCUCUAUCAUCAGGGAAGAAGAUGACGGUACCUGAUUAAUAAGCCCCGGCUAACUACGUUCCAGCAGCCGCGGUAAUACGUAGGGGCCAAGCGUUAUCCGGAUUUACUGGGUGUAAAGGGAGCGAAGACGGAAGUGCAAGACUGGAGUGAAAGGCCGGGGCCAAACCCCGGCACUGCUAUGGAAACUGUGAGGCUAGAGUACUGGAGGGGCAGGCGGAAUUCCUAGUGUAGCGGUGAAAUGCGUAGAUAUUAGGAGGAACACCAGUGGCGAAGGCGGCCUGCUGGACAGUAACUGACGUUGAGGCUCGAAAGCGUGGGGAGCAAACAGGAUUAGAUACCCCGGUAGUC